Molecule: long non-coding RNA, 3750 nt
Organism: Gasterosteus aculeatus aculeatus (three-spined stickleback)
Lineage: Eukaryota; Metazoa; Chordata; Actinopteri; Perciformes; Gasterosteidae
Source: Ensembl
AAAGGCAAACUAUCUAAUGGAGAAUCAUUCACGGUCAAUUUAAGUCAAAAGAAGUAAAAGUACUGUACCAUUAAAGUGUCCAUCUCUUGAAGAUAAGGUACUUGUGAUCUCCACGAUAGAACAGAGCAGUAUGUAGUCCACCAUUCAGAAGUCUCCUAGGAGGGUCCCCCAGCAGGUCCACCAUGAAGCGCAGCUGGAGACAAAACACCACAUCAAAACACCACAAAAAACCUAGUGCUUGGUGAAGCUGCACUGUCGGUUUAGUGCUACGCAAACAUGCUCUGAUGGUGAAUGUGGUAAACAUUGUCCCUGCUAAACAUCAGAAUGUUAGCACUGAACCACUGUGCCGAAGUCGCACAUUCGGAUUUUUGUUUUUACCACUUUGCUCUUUCAGUAUUAAAGAUGCCUGACGCGUCAUGAGAAGUAUUUCAUACGUUAGCGUGUGUGGAGAAAUAAACUUGUUAUGGUACUGACCACGACAUAUUCAGGUUUUCCCAUUAUUAUGCCAAGAGACCAAAUAUCGAUGGCCGAAUUGAAUGUCAGGCCCAGAAUGAUUUCAGGAGACCUGAUUGUGGAAGGACAGCGACAUGUGAAAUAAUCAACACGGUCUGUUUUUAAAAGCAGGAAUAUGCACCUGGUGACAUGACAUAUAUCACCCCCAAUUGAGAAUGCCCAGAAUGGGUACCAAGAUGCCUCAGUAACGCGCACGCUUGGUUUCAACCAUUUCACGCUGCUUGUGCUGUGCGGAAAGCGUUUCACCCGAGACUCUGUUCAUUGGUGUCAUCUUAAGCAAGAAAGCGACAAGCAAUUCUAAACCAAAGGCCUAAGAGUCUCACCUAUAACCAAGAGCCUGAACAGUUUGAGCUUGGGAUGUCUCAAGGGUUAAGCCGAAGUCGAUGACCUUCACCCUGAAUGGCUUUGUCUGAUGAUGCACCAGCAAGAUGUUGUCCAGUUUCAAAUCCGCGUGGAGUCUUCACAUCUCUGAUGAUGGUCCGUAUGCCAUUUAAAGGCAAAAGCUCCCAUUCUCUCUGGCACAUGUGUCCAAAGAGGCUCAUAUCCAGCAUUUCAAAGACCAUGAAGGUCUGGUUGUGCCUGUGGAACCAUUCAUGACAUCGGACUUAUCGGGGUCCAAACAUCUGAGCUUUUCCAGUAUCGUCACCCGGAGAUGAAUGACGGUAUGAAACAGUCAUCGACCUUUUCUGCGAUGGGACUUAAAAUGACUUGAGUUUUAAUCAUCAAGCUGCUCACCUCCCGUAUAUUUGUGUUCUGUGGACAUUUUUGUUUUAAGACCUUCACGGCCACCAUCUCGUUGCUGUCCCAUUUCAAACAUUGAAGGACAUCUCCGUAGCACCCCACUCCCAGAACGCCCAGAACCGUAUAGUUUCUCGAGAUUGAGCUCGUCAGAAGUUUAUUUGCCAUUUCUGGAAAUAAUACCCAAGUAGACGUAAAAUAACGUUUUUCCGCAUCCAUAAUUGUGUCUAAAAGCCAGACAUAAUGAUUUGAAUCAUAUCUCCCAGUGUUAGUGCAAGAGCCGAACGGCCAGCUUGAUUUUACAUUGCCCUCCAACCCUUUUGGAUUCAAGAUAAACAUUUUGCCAAGUACACUACUUAAAAGCCUAAGGACAUUGACAAGUAGCUGUUCCUGGUCCCAGUGACUUCUAGCUAAGUCUGGUGGAGACUUAGCUAUCAUUGGAACUACAGCUAAUCUAAAAUAUGCGGUCAACAGAAAUGUAUUACACAAAAUGUGUGUUGGUCAGAUGUGCUUUAAACUCAUGACUUUCUAUUGUAAGUAAGUAGCUCUAUUAGCUCCAUUAUUACCAGACACAACAAAAUGGUAAUAUGAUUAAACCGGUCAAAUGUUUGGAUAUAUGCAAUGUCACUCAAGACAUAACUUUUAUCACACGUUUGACUAAUAUUUUCACUGUUUACAGACUGUUUAUGCACUGCCCCCCUGUUUCCACUAGAUGCCCCUAAAGAUCUCUGAAUUGAUAAGAAUGAGGCGUCGUAGAAGGUGGAAUUUGAGAGCUCUCCUGACCACGUGAGCGUUGGAUAUUCAGUCAAAACCGACGUAUUUAGUCGGGUGCUUGAAUGUGACUUUAUGUUAUCCAACAGCUUAAGUUGGCGAUUAGUUUGCCAAAAUAAACUAAUGGCACAGCCGUAACCUCAAAAUGUUUAUAGUUUAUCUAACAUUGGAUUCGGAGUCGUUAAACUUUUAUCUUUCUAUCUCAGUUUGGAAUGUUUGUUCAAAGCGGGAGGAGAAAUUGCCCAAUAUUUGAUGGUGUCUUCGCGUCUGGAGGAGCUGUUAGUGAUUUGCGUUUGGAUUUGAAUGAAUGAACACACAUGUGACUGUUGAAGGUUUUGUGUAUGGAUUGAAUAGGUCAUGUAUGAUGCGUUGUAGACUGUCCGUGAGCACUUGCACAUUUAGAUGCAACCGGAGAAAGAGCUCAUCCACGUGCGCAUCGUCAAGCAUUUCUGCACGGCUCUGAUAAUGACCGGUUGUGACGUGUUCUAUUACAAGCAUAACGUUAUUGCUCCGAAGAGUCGGACCAACAGCAGCAUCCAGCUAGUCGGCUUCAAGGCAUUUCGCUCCUCCAGCGGGCUCACGGAACCAGCACCUCCCCUCCCUCCACCCUGCGUGCGUUGGAAGUUGAGUGGCUUUGGCAGUUCGCUUCGCUCAGAGUCCAAGAAAACAGUGCUGCAAAACACAACGAAAAUAUUCGUUCCCCCCAUUGAGCAGAGAUGUUUGCUUCAGUGUUUUAAACUACAUAAUUAGCACUUCAUUCCUGUCGGACCAAUUGACAAAGCGUGAUGAGGGCGGUGUUUUAUUUUAUGUUUUCUCCAUUAAUACGCUACAGAGCCUGCACUGCGAGUGUCUGAAGGUGUAAACAGGAAAUGGUCAAUUAUUCAUUAUUUCCUCUUUAAGUUUAUUUGGAAAAAUUUGUGCACUUGAUUGAUAUGACAAUGACCAGCUUUCCAAAACAUAUUUAGUUGGAUUCUUUUGUGGGUUUUGUGAUAUUUUCCAAACCAACACCAUUGAUGAUGUGUUCAUUAAGCCAACAAACAUGGAAAAUCUGUCUGCCGAAAAACGUUUGUCCAAAAGGGAAGAAACAUUUAUGCAUACAAAUGCUGCAGUAACAUGUCCAUUCUUAUAUUUCCUCUGCUCUCCGUUUCUUCUCUGCUUACAAUGGUUGGGGCCUUCUGUGUAAAUGCAGCACUGCUGCUUAGUAAAAGUCAUUGGACACCAACCAGCUAGCAGACCUUCCUAAAGUAGGCCCAAAUCAGACAGUGGAUGGAGAUUCAGGAGGCCUGAUCCGCAGCUAAAGGACAAAAACACUAUUUCCCUCCCCUGCAGUGUAGAGCAAGUGGGCGUGAUUAACAAGAAAAAGAGGCAACGCCCCCUCUUACAAUCCGCUCUCCUUAUUGGUUUGAACGUGGAAGUCAAAUUCGGGGCUCUCCCUAUUGUUGAAACUGCCGUAUCAUUUGAGAAUAAUAUUUAUUAAAGAAAACAACGUUUUCCACGUUUUCCACGGACCCAAAUGUGAUCCACAUUUAAGUGCUCAUAAACCCCCCUAAAAAUGCAAAACAUCCACUCGUCCAACCCACAGCAGAUGCUGAAACAUCUGGCAGAGCUCCCCACAAGCUCAUGUGGGAACACGUCGGGAAGGGAAUUUACAAAAGUCCUCUUUCCAAGUCGUAUUCGCCCCCCAGUUUUCCCUGCUGCCUAUUCCUUGUUGUCCAUCGAGAGGAAAUU